GUGCCAAUAGGAUGUACUGACAGAUCAGAGGUGGUCAUGAGAGAAGGAGCUAGUAGCCAGAAGAGUGAGGUGUGCACUGGCUGAGAUGCGGGAGCAGGUGGUGGUGUGUUCCUGGGAGAUGCAGCAAGAAGGCCCUCACCAGAUAUCAAGGCCUUAAACUUGGACUUCCCAGCCUCCAGAACUGUCUUAUGUAUCAACAAAAUCACACCAGACCACCCAAAGCUGGCCCUGCCAACUGACCACACACCCCCCUGCCUGAAAGGCAUGUUUCAAUGCGCAACAGAUGCCUGCCACUCAGGGGACAUCAAAUGUGCAUGAGAACUCGCUAAUCUCGAAACAGGUUCUGCAAGUUCAAAAAAACCACCCGUGGCCUGGCUCUGGGCUGAAGCUGAGUCUUGGCUUGAAAUCCCCUGCUCUAAUCUCUCUUCGAAGACUUUUCUGCAUUCAUCUGAGUCCUCAUCCUCCAAGGCAGGGCUCAGGCUCGGGCUCAGGCUCCCAGCCAUGCAUCCCUCCUGGACCAUUCCUGACUCCUUUCCAGUAUCCUUAUCACUUGUACCACAUACCUUGGCCUUUGAUCCUGUAUAUGGUUGGAUUUGUCUUUACUUCACAGGUUCAUCUUGUCUCCCCAAGAACAAUGAGAGUUGCCUCAAGGGGUAGAACCAUGCUUUUUGUUUUCUUUUGGAUUCAUUACAGCACAGCAAAAAGCUCAACACACAAAACACACUCAGUAAAUAUCUUUUCAACAGAAUAAAAGCCAUUCCCCA
This 764-nucleotide long non-coding RNA is filed under the name Pongo abelii (Sumatran orangutan). RNAcentral describes it as "lincRNA". The record is from RNAcentral. Lineage: Eukaryota; Metazoa; Chordata; Mammalia; Primates; Hominidae.